GCGUGCUUAACACAUGCAAGUCGAACGGAAAGGCCCCUUUGGGGGUACUCGAGUGGCGAACGGGUGAGUAACACGUGAGUAACCUGCCCUUGACUUCGGGAUAACUUCAGGAAACUGGGGCUAAUACCGGAUAGGAAUCCUUGCUGCAUGGUGGGGGUUGGAAAGCUUCGGCGGUUUUGGAUGGACUCGCGGCUUAUCAGCUUGUUGGUGGGGUAGUGGCUUACCAAGGCUUUGACGGGUAGCCGGCCUGAGAGGGCGACCGGCCACAUUGGGACUGAGAUACGGCCCAGACUCCUACGGGAGGCAGCAGUGGGGAAUAUUGCACAAUGGGCGGAAGCCUGAUGCAGCAACGCCGCGUGCGGGAUGACGGCCUUCGGGUUGUAAACCGCUUUCAGCAGGGGCGAAGCUUGUGGUGACGGUACCUGCAGAAGAAGCACCGGCUAACUACGUGCCAGCAGCCGCGGUGAUACGUAGGGUGCGAGCGUUGUCCGGAUUUAUUGGGCGUAAAGAGCUCGUAGGUGGUUGAUUGCGUCGGAAGUGAAAACUUGGGGCUUAACCCUGAGCGUGCUUUCGAUACGGGUUGACUUGAGGAAGGUAGGGGAGAAUGGAAUUCCUGGUGGAGCGGUGGAAUGCGCAGAUAUCAGGAGGAACACCAGUGGCGAAGGCGGUUCUCUGGACCUUUCCUGACGCUGAGGAGCGAAAGCGUGGGGAGCGAACAGG
This 720-nucleotide ribosomal RNA is filed under the name Propionibacterium sp. 201264186. RNAcentral describes it as "bacterial SSU rRNA". It matches the Rfam family "Bacterial small subunit ribosomal RNA", at positions 42 to 776 of the family's 1533-position model. The record is from RNAcentral. Lineage: Bacteria; Bacillati; Actinomycetota; Actinomycetes; Propionibacteriales; Propionibacteriaceae.